RNAcentral lists this ribosomal RNA (503 nucleotides) under uncultured bacterium. Its description in RNAcentral is "partial 16S ribosomal RNA". It matches the Rfam family "Bacterial small subunit ribosomal RNA", at positions 28 to 523 of the family's 1533-position model. The record is from RNAcentral.
GAUGAACGCUAGCGAUAGGCCUAACACAUGCAAGUCGAGGGGCAGCAUAGAGUAGCAAUACUUUGAUGGCGACCGGCGCACGGGUGAGUAACACGUAUGCAACCUACCUACAUCAGGGGAAUAACCCGGAGAAAUUCGGACUAAUACCGCAUAAUACAGGGAUGCCGCAUGGCAAUAUUUGUUAAAGAUUUAUCGGAUGUAGAUGGGCAUGCGUUCCAUUAGCUAGUUGGUGAGGUAACGGCUCACCAAGGCAACGAUGGAUAGGGGAACUGAGAGGUUUGUCCCCCACACUGGAACUGAGACACGGACCAGACUCCUACGGGAGGCAGCAGUGGGGAAUAUUGGUCAAUGGACGAGAGUCUGAACCAGCCAAAUCGCGUGAAGGAAGACUGCCCUACGGGUUGUAAACUUCUUUUGUGCAGGAAUAAAAGACAUUACGUGUAAUGUAUUGCAUGUACUGUACGAAUAAGCAUCGGCUAACUCCGUGCCAGCAGCCGCGGUAA